Molecule: ribosomal RNA, 441 nt
Filed under: uncultured bacterium
Lineage: Bacteria
Description: partial 16S ribosomal RNA
Rfam family: Bacterial small subunit ribosomal RNA
Source: RNAcentral
CCUACGGGUGGCAGCAGUGGGGGAUAUUACACAAUGGGGGAAACCCUGAUGCAGCGACGCCGCGUGGGUGAAGAAGUAUUUCGGUAUGUAAAGCCCUAUCAGCAGGGAAGAAAGAAGACGGUACCUGACUAAGAAGCCCCGGCUAACUACGUGCCAGCAGCCGCGGUAAUACGUAGGGGGCGAGCGUUAUCCGGAUUCACUGGGUGUAAAGGGAGCGUAGACGGCCGUGCAAGCCAGGAGUGAAAGCCCGGGGCCCAACCCCGGGACUGCUCUUGGAACUGGGCGGCUGGAGUGCGGGAGGGGCAGGCGGAAUUCCUGGUGUAGCGGUGAAAUGCGUAGAUAUCAGGAGGAACACCGGCGGCGAAGGCGGCCUGCUGGACCGCGACUGACGUUGAGGCUCGAAAGCGUGGGGAGCGAACAGGAUUAGAUACCCGAGUAGUC